Molecule: ribosomal RNA, 466 nt
Filed under: uncultured bacterium
Lineage: Bacteria
Description: bacterial SSU rRNA
Rfam family: Bacterial small subunit ribosomal RNA
Source: RNAcentral
GCCCAGACUCCUACGGGAGGCAGCAGUGAGGAAUAUUGGUCAAUGGGCGCGAGCCUGAACCAGCCAAGUAGCGUGAAGGAUGACUGCCCUACGGGUUGUAAACUUCUUUUAUAAAGGAAUAAAGUGAGGCACGUGUGCCUUUUUGUAUGUACUUUAUGAAUAAGGAUCGGCUAACUCCGUGCCAGCAGCCGCGGUAAUACGGAGGAUCCGAGCGUUAUCCGGAUUUAUUGGGUUUAAAGGGAGCGUAGAUGGGUUGUUAAGUCAGCUGUGAAAGUUUGCGGCUCAACCGUAAAAUUGCAAUUGAUACUGGCAGUCUUGAGUACAGUUGAGGUAGGCGGAAUUCGUGGUGUAGCGGUGAAAUGCGUAGAUAUUAGGAAGAACACCAGUGGCGAAGGCGGCUUGCUGGACAGUAACUGACGUUGAGGCUCGAAAGCGUGGGGAGCAAACAGGAUUAGAUACCCGAGUA